CGGGAGGCAGCAGUGGGGAAUAUUGCACAAUGGGGGAAACCCUGAUGCAGCAACGCCGCGUGAGGAAGAAGUAUUUCGGUAUGUAAACUCUAUCAGCAGGGAAGAAAAUGACGGUACCUGACUAAGAAGCCCCGGCUAACUACGUGCCAGCAGCCGCGGUAAUACGUAGGGGGCAAGCGUUAUCCGGAUUUACUGGGUGUAAAGGGAGCGUAGACGGCGCUGCAAGUCUGAAGUGAAAGCCCGGGGCUCAACCCGGGACUGCUUUGGAAACUGUAAUGCUAGAGUGCUGGAGAGGUAAGUGGAAUUCCUAGUGUAGCGGUGAAAUGCGUAGAUAUUAGGAGGAACACCAGUGGCGAAGGCGGCUUACUGGACAGUAACUGACGUUGAGGCUCGAAAGCGUGAGGAGCAAACAGGAUUAGAUACCCUGGUAGUCCACGCGGUAAACGAUGAAUGCUAGGUG
RNAcentral lists this ribosomal RNA (460 nucleotides) under uncultured bacterium. RNAcentral's name for it is "bacterial SSU rRNA". It matches the Rfam family "Bacterial small subunit ribosomal RNA", at positions 342 to 822 of the family's 1533-position model. The record is from RNAcentral.